Molecule: ribosomal RNA, 1346 nt
Filed under: uncultured bacterium
Lineage: Bacteria
Description: bacterial SSU rRNA
Rfam family: Bacterial small subunit ribosomal RNA
Source: RNAcentral
GACGAACGCUGGCGGCGUGCUUAACACAUGCAAGUCGAACGGAAAGGCCCUGCUUUUGUGGGGUGCUCGAGUGGCGAACGGGUGAGUAACACGUGAGUAACCUGCCCUUGACUUUGGGAUAACUUCAGGAAACUGGGGCUAAUACCGGAUAGGAGCUCCUGCUGCAUGGUGGGGGUUGGAAAGUUUCGGCGGUUGGGGAUGGACUCGCGGCUUAUCAGCUUGUUGGUGGGGUAGUGGCUUACCAAGGCUUUGACGGGUAGCCGGCCUGAGAGGGUGACCGGCCACAUUGGGACUGAGAUACGGCCCAGACUCCUACGGGAGGCAGCAGUGGGGAAUAUUGCACAAUGGGCGGAAGCCUGAUGCAGCAACGCCGCGUGCGGGAUGACGGCCUUCGGGUUGUAAACUGCUUUCGCCUGUGACGAAGCGUGAGUGACGGUAAUGGGUAAAGAAGCACCGGCUAACUACGUGCCAUCAGCCGCGGUGAUACGUAGGGUGCGAGCGUUGUCCGGAUUUAUUGGGCGUAAAGGGCUCGUAGGUGGUUGAUCGCGUCGGAAGUGUAAUCUUGGGGCUUAACCCUGAGCGUGCUUUCGAUACGGGUUGACUUGAGGAAGGUAGGGGAGAAUGGAAUUCCUGGUGGAGCGGUGGAAUGCGCAGAUAUCAGGAGGAACACCAGUGGCGAAGGCGGUUCUCUGGGCCUUUCCUGACGCUGAGGAGCGAAAGCGUGGGGAGCGAACAGGCUUAGAUACCCUGGUAGUCCACGCUGUAAACGGUGGGUACUAGGUGUGGGGUCCAUUCCACGGGUUCCGUGCCGUAGCUAACGCUUUAAGUACCCCGCCUGGGGAGUACGGCCGCAAGGCUAAAACUCAAAGGAAUUGACGGGGCCCCGCACAAGCGGCGGAGCAUGCGGAUUAAUUCGAUGCAACGCGUAGAACCUUACCUGGGUUUGACAUGGAUCGGGAGCGCUCAGAGAUGGGUGUGCCUCUUUUGGGGUCGGUUCACAGGUGGUGCAUGGCUGUCGUCAGCUCGUGUCGUGAGAUGUUGGGUUAAGUCCCGCAACGAGCGCAACCCUUGUUCACUGUUGCCAGCACGUUAUGGUGGGGACUCAGUGGAGACCGCCGGGGUCAACUCGGAGGAAGGUGGGGAUGACGUCAAGUCAUCAUGCCCCUUAUGUCCAGGGCUUCACGCAUGCUACAAUGGCUGGUACAGAGAGUGGCGAGCCUGUGAGGGUGAGCGAAUCUCGGAAAGCCGGUCUCAGUUCGGAUUGGGGUCUGCAACUCGACCUCAUGAAGUCGGAGUCGCUAGUAAUCGCAGAUCAGCAACGCUGCGGUGAAUACGUUCCCGGGGCU